RNAcentral lists this long non-coding RNA (390 nucleotides) under Melopsittacus undulatus (budgerigar). RNAcentral's name for it is "lncRNA (ENSMUNG00000021960.1)". Lineage: Eukaryota; Metazoa; Chordata; Aves; Psittaciformes; Psittaculidae. The record is from RNAcentral.
AUGGGGCGUGGCUCGGGCCCGGCCAAUCAGCCCUGGGGGCGUGGCUCGGGCCCGGCCAAUCAGCCCUGGGGGCGUGGCUCGGGCCCGGCCAAUCAGCGCCGGGGGCGGGGCUUGGGGCUGGACCAAUCAGAGCCCUGCCCCCUUAUUCAUCUGAGGCAGCUACGCCACGCCCCCUUCGGCCCCCGCCCGCUGCCGCAGCCCCGCCCCGUGAACGUCGUGCGUGGUGACGUCAGAGACCAGGACGAUGCGUGGCCCGGAUGGGAGUUCGGUCCCGAUCCCGACCUGCUGAUGGGUGAGUCCGAGCCGCCUAUUGCCCUAUACAGAGCUAAGCCCCGCCCCUGCCGCCCUCCUAUUGGUCCGUGCCCUGGGAGCUCGCACGCUAUUGGCUGA